RNAcentral lists this ribosomal RNA (492 nucleotides) under uncultured bacterium. RNAcentral's name for it is "bacterial SSU rRNA". It matches the Rfam family "Bacterial small subunit ribosomal RNA", at positions 9 to 503 of the family's 1533-position model. The record is from RNAcentral.
GAGUUUGAUCAUGGCUCAGGAUGAACGCUAGCGGCAGGCUUAACACAUGCAAGUCGAGGGGUAUUCUAGCAAUAGGAGAGACCGGCGCACGGGUGCGUAACGCGUAUGCAAUCUACCUUUCACAGAGGGAUAGCCCAGAGAAAUUUGGAUUAAUACCUCAUAGUAUUAUGGAAUGGCAUCAUUUUAUAAUUAAAGUCACAACGGUGAAAGAUGAGCAUGCGUCCCAUUAGCUAGUUGGUAAGGUAACGGCUUACCAAGGCGACGAUGGGUAGGGGUCCUGAGAGGGAGAUCCCCCACACUGGUACUGAGACACGGACCAGACUCCUACGGGAGGCAGCAGUGAGGAAUAUUGGACAAUGGGCGCAAGCCUGAUCCAGCCAUGCCGCGUGCAGGGUGACGGUCCUAUGGAUUGUAAACUGCUUUUGCACAGGAAGAAACACCCCCUCGUGAGGGGGCUUUGACGGUACUGUGAGAAUAAGGAUCGGUUAACUC